UACGGAGGGUGCAAGCGUUACCCGGAAUCACUGGGCGUAAAGGGCGUGUAGGCGGACCACUCAGUCUGACUUUAAAGACCGAGGCUCAACCUCGGAAGUGGGUUGGAUACUGGUGGUCUGGACCUCUGGAGAGGAAGUCGGAAUUCCUGGUGUAGCGGUGGAAUGCGUAGAUACCAGGAGGAACACCGAUGGCGAAGGCAGACUUCUGGACAGAAGGUGACGCUGAGGCGCGAAAGUGUGGGGAGCGAACCGG
Molecule: ribosomal RNA, 253 nt
Filed under: uncultured bacterium
Lineage: Bacteria
Description: partial 16S ribosomal RNA
Rfam family: Bacterial small subunit ribosomal RNA
Source: RNAcentral